This 1346-nucleotide ribosomal RNA is filed under the name uncultured bacterium. RNAcentral's name for it is "partial 16S ribosomal RNA". It matches the Rfam family "Bacterial small subunit ribosomal RNA", at positions 28 to 1381 of the family's 1533-position model. The record is from RNAcentral.
GACGAACGCUGGCGGCGUGCUUAACACAUGCAAGUCGAACGGAAAGGCCCUGCUUUUGUGGGGUGCUCGAGUGGCGAACGGGUGAGUAACACGUGAGUAACCUGCCCUUGACUUUGGGAUAACUUCAGGAAACUGGGGCUAAUACCGGAUAGGAGCUCCUGCUGCAUGGUGGGGGUUGGAAAGUUUCGGCGGUUGGGGAUGGACUCGCGGCUUAUCAGCUCGUUGGUGGGGUAGUGGCUUACCAAGGCUUUGACGGGUAGCCGGCCUGAGAGGGUGACCGGCCACAUUGGGACUGAGAUACGGCCCAGACUCCUACGGGAGGCAGCAGUGGGGAAUAUUGCACAAUGGGCGGAAGCCUGAUGCAGCAACGCCGCGUGCGGGAUGACGGCCUUCGGGUUGUAAACCGCUUUCGCCUGUGACGAAGCGUGAGUGACGGUAAUGGGUAAAGAAGCACCGGCUAACUACGUGCCAGCAGCCGCGGUGAUACGUAGGGUGCGAGCGUUGUCCGGAUUUAUUGGGCGUAAAGGGCUCGUAGGUGGUUGAUCGCGUCGGAAGUGUAAUCUUGGGGCUUAACCCUGAGCGUGCUUUCGAUACGGGUUGACUUGAGGAAGGUAGGGGAGAAUGGAAUUCCUGGUGGAGCGGUGGAAUGCGCAGAUAUCAGGAGGAACACCAGUGGCGAAGGCGGUUCUCUGGGCCUUUCCUGACGCUGAGGAGCGAAAGCGUGGGGAGCGAACAGGCUUAGAUACCCUGGUAGUCCACGCUGUAAACGGUGGGUACUAGGUGUGGGGUCCAUUCCACGGGUUCCGUGCCGUAGCUAACGCUUUAAGUACCCCGCCUGGGGAGUACGGCCGCAAGGCUAAAACUCAAAGGAAUUGACGGGGCCCCGCACAAGCGGCGGAGCAUGCGGAUUAAUUCGAUGCAACGCGUAGAACCUUACCUGGGUUUGACAUGGAUCGGGAGUGCUCAGAGAUGGGUGUGCCUCUUUUGGGGUCGGUUCACAGGUGGUGCAUGGCUGUCGUCAGCUCGUGUCGUGAGAUGUUGGGUUAAGUCCCGCAACGAGCGCAACCCUUGUUCACUGUUGCCAGCACGUUAUGGUGGGGACUCAGUGGAGACCGCCGGGGUCAACUCGGAGGAAGGUGGGGAUGACGUCAAGUCACCAUGCCCCUUAUGUCCAGGGCUUCACGCAUGCUACAAUGGCUGGUACAGAGAGUGGCGAGCCUGUGAGGGUGAGCGAAUCUCGGAAAGCCGGUCUCAGUUCGGAUUGGGGUCUGCAACUCGACCUCAUGAAGUCGGAGUCGCUAGUAAUCGCAGAUCAGCAACGCUGCGGUGAAUACGUUCCCGGGGCU